UGGGGANUUUUGGACAAUGGGCGCAAGCNUGAUCCAGCCAUGNCGCGUGUCUGAAGAAGGCCUUCGGGUUGUAAAGGACUUUUGUCAGGGAAGAAAAAGCUGUCGCUAAUACCGACAGCUGAUGACGGUACCUGAAGAAUAAGCACCNGCNAACUACGUNNCAGCAGNCGCGNUAAUACGUAGGGGUGCGAGCGUUAAUCGGANNUACUGGGCGUAAAGCGAGCGCAGACGGUUACUUAAGCAGGAUGUGAAAUCCCCGGGCUCAACCUGGGGNCUGCGUUCUGAACUGGGUGACUAGAGUGUGUCAGAGGGAGGUAGAAUUCCACGUGUAGCAGUGAAAUGCGUAGAGAUGUGGAGGAAUUCCGAUGGCGAAGGCAGCCUCCUGGGAUUAANCUGACGUUCAUGCUCGAAAGCGUGGGUAGCAAACAGGAUUAGAUACCCUGGUAGUCCACGCCCUAAACGAUGUCAAUUAGCUGUUGGGCAACUUGAUUGCUUAGUUACGUAGCUAACGCGUGAAAUUGACCGCCUGGGGAGUACGGUCGCAAGAUUA
This 550-nucleotide ribosomal RNA is filed under the name uncultured bacterium. Its description in RNAcentral is "partial 16S rRNA". It matches the Rfam family "Bacterial small subunit ribosomal RNA", at positions 355 to 896 of the family's 1533-position model. The record is from RNAcentral.